RNAcentral lists this ribosomal RNA (626 nucleotides) under Lutjanus sanguineus (humphead snapper). Its description in RNAcentral is "partial small subunit ribosomal RNA". It matches the Rfam family "Bacterial small subunit ribosomal RNA", at positions 543 to 1444 of the family's 1533-position model. The record is from RNAcentral. Lineage: Eukaryota; Metazoa; Chordata; Actinopteri; Lutjaniformes; Lutjanidae.
AGUUGAUAGAUGUCGGCGUAAAGAGUGGUUAAGAUCUUAUUCUAAACUAAAGCCGAAUACCUUCAGAGCUGUCAUACGCAUCCGAAGGCAAGAAGCCCAACCACGAAAGUGGCUUUAUUACAUCUGAUCCCACGAAAGCUACGGUACAAACUGGGAUUAGAUACCCCACUAUGCCUAGCCCUAAACAUUGAUAGUAAUCUACCCCUACUAUCCGCCUGGGAACUACGAGCAUUAGCUUGAAACCCAAAGGACUUGGCGGUGCUUUAGACCCACCUAGAGGAGCCUGUUCUAGAACCGAUUAUCCCCGUUCAACCUCACCUUUCCUUGUUUUCCCCGCCUAUAUACCACCGUCGUCAGCUUACCCUGUGAAGGACUUAUAGUAAGCGAGAUUAGCACAGCCCAAAACGUCAGGUCGAGGUGUAGCGUAUGGAAAGGGAAGAAAUGGGCUACAUUCCAUAACAUUAAGGAAUUACGAAUGAUUACACUGAAACACGUAUCUGAAGGAGGAUUUAGCAGUAAGCAGAAAAUAGAGCGUUCCGCUGAAACCGGCCCUGAAGCGCGCACACACCGCCCGUCACUCUCCCCAAGCUCCUUCCGUCCAAUAACUUAAAACUUUCUAACUGCAA